RNAcentral lists this unclassified non-coding RNA (239 nucleotides) under Helotiales sp. RNAcentral describes it as "partial contains small subunit ribosomal RNA, internal transcribed spacer 1, and 5.8S ribosomal RNA". The stretch from base 1 to 46 matches the Rfam family "Eukaryotic small subunit ribosomal RNA", at positions 1786 to 1831 of the family's 1831-position model. The record is from RNAcentral. Lineage: Eukaryota; Fungi; Ascomycota; Leotiomycetes; Helotiales.
AAGUCGUAACAAGGUUUCCGUAGGUGAACCUGCGGAAGGAUCAUUACUGAGAACAUGCCCUUUACGGGGUAUAUCUCCCACCCUUUGUUUACAAUACCUUUGUUGCUUUGGCAGGCCCAUCUCAUGACCACCGGCUUUGGCUGGUCCUGUGCCUGCCAGAGGACCCCAAAACUCUUUUAUUAUGUCGUCUGAGUACUAUGUAAUAGUUAAAACUUUCAACAACGGAUCUCUUGGUUCUG